RNA transcript from Sapajus apella (tufted capuchin), 570 nucleotides. It is a transcript of the gene named elongation factor 1-alpha 1 pseudogene, with no coding region annotated. Lineage: Eukaryota; Metazoa; Chordata; Mammalia; Primates; Cebidae. The record is from RefSeq and is a predicted model, not a curated record. The transcript has a single exon.
AAAUCUGUUGAAAUGCACCAUGAAGCUUUGAGUGAAGCUCUUCCUGGGGACAAUGUGGGCUUCAAUGUCAACAAUGUGUCUGUCAAAGAUGUUCGUCGUGGCAACAUUGCUGGUGACAGCAAGAAUGACCCACCAAUGGAAGCAGCUGGCUUCAUUGCUCAGGUGAUCAUCCUGAACCAUCCAGGCCAAAUCAGUGCUGGCGAUGCCCCUGUACUGGAUUGCCACACGGCUCACAUCGCAUGCAAGUUUGCUGAGCUGAAGGAAAAGAUUGAUCACCGUUCUGGUAAAAAGCUGGAAGAUGGCCCUAAAUUCUUGAAGUCUGGUGAUGCUGCCAUCGUUGAUAUGGUUCCUGGCAAGCCCAUGUGUGUUGAGAGCUUCUCAGACUAUCCACCUCUCGGUCACUUUGCUGUUCGUGAUAUGAGACAGACAGUUGCCAUGGGUGUCAUCAAAGCAGUGGACCAGAAGGCUGCUGGGGCUGGCAAGGUCACCAAGUCUGCCCAGAAAGCUCAGAAGGCUAAAUGAAUAUUACCCCUAAUACCUGCCACCUUAGUCUUAAUCAGUGGUGGAGGA